RNAcentral lists this ribosomal RNA (1598 nucleotides) under Plasmodium inui. RNAcentral's name for it is "SSU rRNA". It matches the Rfam family "Eukaryotic small subunit ribosomal RNA", at positions 61 to 1439 of the family's 1831-position model. Lineage: Eukaryota; Apicomplexa; Aconoidasida; Haemosporida; Plasmodiidae. The record is from RNAcentral.
AAGUAUAUGCAUAUUUUAUAUGUAGAAACUGCGAACGGCUCAUUAAAACAGUUAUAAUCUACUUGACAUUUUUUCUAUAAGGAUAACUACGGAAAAGCUGUAGCUAAUACUUGCUUUAGCACUCUUGAUUAAGUUCUUGAGUGUGUACUUGUUAAGCCUUUUAAGAAAAAAGUUAUUAACUUAAGGAAUUAUAACAAAGAAGCAACACGUAAAUGGAUUUUCCAUUUUUUAGUGUGUAUCAAUCGAGUUUCUGACCUAUCAGCUUUUGAUGUUAGGGUAUUGGCCUAACAUGGCUAUGACGGGUAACGGGGAAUUAGAGUUCGAUUCCGGAGAGGGAGCCUGAGAAAUAGCUACCACAUCUAAGGAAGGCAGCAGGCGCGUAAAUUACCCAAUUCUAAAGAAGAGAGGUAGUGACAAGAAAUAACAAUACAAGGCCAAUCUGGCUUUGUAAUUGGAAUGAUGGGAAUUUAAAACCUUCCCAAAACUCAAUUGGAGGGCAAGUCUGGUGCCAGCAGCCGCGGUAAUUCCAGCUCCAAUAGCGUAUAUUAAAAUUGUUGCAGUUAAAACGCUCGUAGUUGAAUUUCAAAGAAUCGAUAUUUUAAGUAGCAAUUUGUAGAUUAAUCCACAUAACUGAUACUACGUAUCGACUUUGUGCGCAUUUUUCUACUUAUGUGUUCUUUUAAUUAAAAUGAUUCUUUUUAAGAUCUUUCUUUUUUGCUUCGGCAUUUUAGGAGAUCUUGUUACUUUGAGUAAAUUAGAGUGUUCAAAGCAAACAGAUUAUAGCAUCUUUAUGCGUUUGAAUACUACAGCAUGGAAUAACAAAAUUGAACAAGUCAGAAUUUUGUUCUUUUUUCUUAUUUUGGCUUAGUUACGAUUAAUAGGAGUAGCUUGGGGGCAUUUGUAUUCAGAUGUCAGAGGUGAAAUUCUUAGAUUUUCUGGAGACAAACAACUGCGAAAGCAUUUGCCUAAAAUACUUCCAUUAAUCAAGAACGAAAGUUAAGGGAGUGAAGACGAUCAGAUACCGUCGUAAUCUUAACCAUAAACUAUGCCGACUAGGCUUUGGAUGAAAGAUUUUAAAAUAAGAGUUUUUUCUCUGAGGAGUUAAAACUCUUAGAUUGCUUCCUUCAGUGCCUUAUGAGAAAUCAAAGUCUUUGGGUUCUGGGGCGAGUAUUCGCGCAAGCGAGAAAGUUAAAAGAAUUGACGGAAGGGCACCACCAGGCGUGGAGCUUGCGGCUUAAUUUGACUCAACACGGGAAAACUCACUAGUUUAAGACAAGAGUAGGAUUGACAGAUUAAUAGCUCUUUCUUGAUUUCUUGGAUGGUGAUGCAUGGCCGUUUUUAGUUCGUGAAUAUGAUUUGUCUGGUUAAUUCCGAUAACGAACGAGAUCUUAACCUGCUAAUUAGCGGCAAAUACGAUAUAUUCUUAUGUGGAAUUGAAUAUAGUUGAUUUGCUUAUUUUGAAGAAAAUAUUGGGAUACGUAAAUGUAUCCCUUUCCCUUUUCUACUUAAUUUGCUUAUCAUACUAUUUCUUUUUUGCGUAAGAAUGUAUUUGCUUGAUUGUAAAGCUUCUUAGAGGAACGAUGUGUGUCUAACACAAG